Molecule: long non-coding RNA, 811 nt
Organism: Oreochromis niloticus (Nile tilapia)
Lineage: Eukaryota; Metazoa; Chordata; Actinopteri; Cichliformes; Cichlidae
Exons: 5
Source: RefSeq, a predicted model, not a curated record
AUUUAUCUUCAUGUUUUCUUCUUUAUUCAGAUUGUGUGGAUGCAGUUUGUCAGAAACCAGCUGUGGUGAUCUGGUUGCGGCUCUGAAGACCAACCCCUCCCACCUGACACAUCUGGACCUGGGUGAAAACAACCUGGGUGGUUUGCAUAUGAAGCAGCUCAAUCUUUUCCUAGAGAGUCCAGACUGUAGAUUGAAAGUACUGAGACUGGCAAAUUGCAGUCUGUCAGAGAUCAGCGCUUUUGUCUCAGCACUGAGCUCCAACCCCUCCCAUCUGAGACAGCUGCACCUGAGUGGAAACAACCUGCAGGAUUCAGGAGUGAAGCCACUGUGGGAUUUCUGAAGAGUCCAGAAUGUCGACUUCAAAUUCUGGGAUUUUGGGGCUGUGGUUUUACAGAGAUCAGCUGUGAUUAUCUGGCAGCAGCACUGAAGUCCAACCCCUCCCAUCUGAGAGACCUGCACUUGGACUCUAAUGACCUGAAAGAUUCAGGAGUGAAGCAUCUGUGUGGUUUCCUGGAGAGUCCACGAUGCCAACUACAUCUCCUGUCAUUGUGGAGCUGUGGUUUGUCAAAGAUCAGCUGUGAUUAUCUGGCAGCAGCACUGAAGUCCAACCCCUCCCAUCUGACAACGCUGAACCUGUGGGGAAACAACCUGAAGGAUCCAGAUGUGAAGCAGCUGUCUGAUCUUCAGCAGAGUCCAGAGUCCAGACUGGAGACUCUGAGGGUGAAGGGUAAUCCUUGGUAAACAGGACGGUGUGUGUGCUGAGAGAGGAGCAGCUGUGUCCUGAUGAUCCAGAGAGGUUGAAGCAGCAGCA